RNAcentral lists this ribosomal RNA (686 nucleotides) under uncultured bacterium. RNAcentral's name for it is "bacterial SSU rRNA". It matches the Rfam family "Bacterial small subunit ribosomal RNA", at positions 9 to 681 of the family's 1533-position model. The record is from RNAcentral.
GAGUUUGAUCAUGGCUCAGAACGAACGCUGGCGGCGUGGAUAAGACAUGCAAGUCGAACGAGAAACUUACUUAGCUUGCUUUGAAAGUUUCUAGUGGCGGACGGGUGAGUAACACGUGAGUUACCUGCCCCGAAGUGGGGGAUAGCCUUCCGAAAGGGAGAUUAAUACCCCAUGUGAUCGCAAGAUUAAAGGCGGCCAUCUUUGAUGGCUGUCGCUUCGGGAUGGGCUCGCGGCCUAUCAGCUAGUUGGUGAGGUAACUGCUUACCAAGGCGAUGACGGGUAGCUGGUCUGAGAGGACGACCAGUCACACUGGAACUGAGACACGGUCCAGACACCUACGGGUGGCAGCAGUCGAGAAUCAUUCGCAAUGGGCGAAAGCCUGACGGUGCGACGCCGCGUGGAGGAUGAAGGCCCUAGGGUCGUAAACUCCUGUCAUCAGGGAGUAAUGGCUCACGUAGUAACUGCCGUGAGCAGUGAUAGUACCUGAAGAGGAAGGGACGGCAAACUUCGUGCCAGCAGCCGCGGUAAUACGAAGGUCUCAAGCGUUGUUCGGAUUUACUGGGCGUAAAGCGUCUGUAGGCGGAGUGGUAAGUCAGAUGUGAAAUCCCGGGGCUCAACCCCGGAACUGCAUCCGAUACUGCCACCCUAGAGGGUCGGAGGGGAGUCUGGAAUUCUCGGUGUAGCAG